Molecule: long non-coding RNA, 3206 nt
Organism: Gasterosteus aculeatus aculeatus (three-spined stickleback)
Lineage: Eukaryota; Metazoa; Chordata; Actinopteri; Perciformes; Gasterosteidae
Source: Ensembl
UGGCUGUGCAUUCAUUUUAUUUUGUAUAGUCCAAAAUCACAGAUUACAAAUUACAGAGGGCUUUACAGUCUGUACACAUGCCUCACAUUGGCACAGGAAAAACUCCCCAACAAAAAUGAAAAACCCUUCCAUGGGGAAAAAAGGGAUGAAACCUUAGUGAGAAUGUCAGAGAAGGAUCCCACUCCCGGGAUGGACAGACUACAAUGGAUGAUGUGUACAGAAUGAACAAAGUAAAAGAUGUAUAAUACAAUCAAUUCCUAUAACAGAAAUGAUUCAAAUAGUUGCGAGUAGUAAGCAGGCGCAUGGCAGGACCACUGCAGGGACAACCACCAUCAGAUAGAACCACCAUCCAGAGAAACCUGUGGUGGGUGGGGGCACAAAGACUUCAGGAAAGGUAAUGUUGGUUUAUUAUGACAGUAAUAGUAAUAUGAUAGAUAUUUAAAAUAAUAAUGAUAAUGAACAAUUUUGUAUAAUUCUAUAUUUGCUGUUGUUUAGCCCUUCAAAUCAAAUAUAGUGGAACCAUAGGUGACAUUUUUGUAAAACAGAAAAAGCACUUUCCAAGACCUUUUUUCUGAGUAGUUUAAUUUAGAAACCGUUUUCAUUCUUUGGUACUACAAGAAUGAAGCGUUUACAUUUAGUCACAAAAACAAGAGCAGAACAAUUAUUUUGGAGGGCAGUGGAAUUGCUUAAAGGCUAAAAACAGCAACAAACGUGGAUUGACACAGAAUAUUUUUCCGAUAAAUACAUUUCUCUGCCAUUAUAUACUAUUUGAAAGGUUGGAGCACACAAGUCUGAAAAGGUCCCACCAUGUUCAAUACACAUUGUGGGUCUGCUCAUAAAUACCAGAAACAUGCACAGAAAUGCCCAAAAUAAUAUACUCAAAUUCAAGCUCCAUUUUACAAAAUCGAUGGAGGAAAAAUAAGCAUUUCUUCUACCAACAGCCCGAACUCCACAUGAAGGCUUCAUACUUCAUUUUUCACCUCCUACCAUUGAAUCGAUCAACGAGACAUUUUAAUCCAUUACCAUGUUUGUGUGUGUCUUGUUUAACUUCCCAUUUUUCAGUUGAAUCCCAGUGAAGUGAGUGAACUGAUGUGAAAGUGCUCGGGACCACUGACUGUGCCAGCGGCUGUACACACAAAGACCAGCUCUGUGUUGAUCUCAACAUCUCAGGAUGCAUUUCCUUUCACUCUUCUGGACGGGCACAGAUGUGGUCUGGCUACAGCUCUCUAGAAGUCUCUAAAAUGAUGCUAAUCAUCUUUGGUUAGGCAACUCCAAUGAAACUGUCAAACCAGGCUGAUAAAAUAUGAAUCAAAAUUCAGUUGAUAAUUUCUCUCCGAAAACGUUCUAAGAAUUACUUUAGUUUACUGUUUUACUGUAGAAUCAGAACGUUUGUUCUAGUCUGUUGGAGGUGCUUUGUCUGCUAAUAUUCAAAAGUAUGAUCCCUUCAAUGACAAUUGAAUUGUGAAGAUUUGACCAGAAAUCACAUAUGGAGUAAGUUCUAAAACGGCAUUUAUAAAGUAAUAUGUCUGUGAAAUGGACCUAACCCCUUUUCAUCAACUUGUAUCACAAAUUAUGAGGCAUGAUGAAAUAUGUUGGGUUCUAGCCGGGUCUCCUGAAGAAAGAGUGCAAGCAUCACAGUGCUGUCAAAAUUCACACAACGCUGUUAGAGGCGUCUGUGAUCUGCUUCAGUCAGUUAGCCCGUCUGUCAGUAGGAAAACAGUCAUCAUGUCAGCCAGUUAGACAUUUUCCCAAGCAUUUGGAGUCGACGCUGCACAUAAUGGUAAGCAGAAACUGGUUACCGGUUCGAGUUUUUGGUAAUGGACCCACACCCGCUCAAACGGUUCUCCAAUCACCGGAAUCGGGUGAAGUGGCACACGAGGAACAGGUUUGUUCACUUUCCCUGUAAGUUGGCACACAUGACAGGUUUUGCAGUAUUGCACAAUGUCAGAUUUUAAUCCUGGCCAGAAGAAAUGUCAGAGGACUCUGUUGUAUCUUUUAGUUACCCCUAAAUGUACGGACCAUGCAGGGUUAUGAGCCAGUGACAGCACUUGCUGUCGCAUUGGUGACGGAACCACUACCUGCCAAACUGUAUCCCAGUGCUCACCCGUUUUAUGCGCAGUCCAUUUAUGCAUUAAAACACCAGCGUCCACAAGUCUCUCUGGUGUGAUGGAUGACAACACAUCACCUAACUGGGGAUUGACUCCGCAUCCCCCUUUCACAGCCUGCACAGAAGGUAAUUUCUCUGCUUUAUGCUCUACCUCCACAGUUUCAACCUGUUCAAAAAUAGACAAAUUCACUGUAUCCCCUGCAUGCGAGCUUGUGCCCUUGCUAAAACACAUGCAGGGAACCCUUGAGGGUAUUUCUGAACCAAGACAAUGUCAGAACCAUUAGGUUGUGGCCUGUCUGUUACUUCUGGUACUGGAGACACCUUACCUCCAGCAAUGUCGUUUCCUAGUAAUAGUGCUACCCCUUCCACUGCUAGCGUAAGCACCACCCCAACACGGACCAACCUAAAACUAAAUCAGAAUGCACAUGAACCCAGUGUAAAGGCACAGAAAUUGGGUUGGCUUCAAUGCCACACAAAAGGAUGUGUGAACCACAUCAUGUCUGGUCAGACCAGGGCAACACAUCUGCAAGGAUAAGAUUAAGCCGCACCAGUGUCACGUAGGAUUUUAAUUUCUCUCUGGUCUUCAGUUCUCCCUGUGCAUGAAACACUCCCGACAGACACAAACGGAGCAUACACCAGGUCUGGUUUUCCUGCGAAAGCCUCGCUAGCACUUCUAGCUUGCUGGUAAGAAACAGACUGAGUUAAACCAACACUCUUACGGGACAGCGGGGGUGACUUCUUGUUCUUGAGUAAGAGACAAUCUGCGAUUAAAUGGCCUUUCUGGUGGCAAUAAAAAGAUUCCCUGUCCUCUUUCCUUGGAACAGUAGGAGGGUCUGAAGAGCGAGAUGCACCAGCUGCGGGUGAAACGGAUGUCCUGCUCUGACUGGACGCUGUAAACUGUUUUAUGCGUUAAGGCAUAUUCAUCGGCCAGGACUGCUGCCUGACUCAGCGUCGCCACUUUGUUUUCACUAAGAUGCACAAUUCUUUCAGGUAAGUGGUUCUUAAAAUCCUCCAGCACUGUUACUGUUUUUCUUGUAAUUUCUAAAUCGUUGUCUAUAAGCUUGUGGCACUAGCUCAUAGGCACGCAGCACGGUGGCUU